ACCUGGGUGGUGGAAACAGUUAACACACUUGGCUGCCAACCAAAAGGUUGGAAGUUCAAGUCCCCCCAGAGGUG
Molecule: transfer RNA, 74 nt
Filed under: Loxodonta africana (African savanna elephant)
Lineage: Eukaryota; Metazoa; Chordata; Mammalia; Proboscidea; Elephantidae
Rfam family: tRNA
About the family: Transfer RNA (tRNA) molecules are approximately 80 nucleotides in length. Their secondary structure includes four short double-helical elements and three loops (D, anti-codon, and T loops).
Source: Rfam by way of RNAcentral